RNAcentral lists this ribosomal RNA (485 nucleotides) under uncultured bacterium. RNAcentral's name for it is "partial 16S ribosomal RNA". It matches the Rfam family "Bacterial small subunit ribosomal RNA", at positions 30 to 507 of the family's 1533-position model. The record is from RNAcentral.
AUUGAACGCUGGCGGCAGGCUUAACACAUGCAAGUCAAGCGGGGAAAGGUAGCUUGCUACCUGACCUAGCGGCGGACGGGUGAGUAAUGCUUAGGAAUCUGCCUAUUAGUGGGGGACAACAUCUCGAAAGGGAUGCUAAUACCGCAUACGUCCUACGGGAGAAAGCAGGGGACCUUCGGGCCUUGCGCUAAUAGAUGAGCCUAAGUCGGAUUAGCUAGUUGGUGGGGUAAAGGCCUACCAAGGCGACGAUCUGUAGCGGGUCUGAGAGGAUGAUCCGCCACACUGGGACUGAGACACGGCCCAGACUCCUACGGGAGGCAGCAGUGGGGAAUAUUGGACAAUGGGGGGAACCCUGAUCCAGCCAUGCCGCGUGUGUGAAGAAGGCCUUUUGGUUGUAAAGCACUUUAAGCGAGGAGGAGGCUACCGAGAUUAAUACUCUUGGAUAGUGGACGUUACUCGCAGAAUAAGCACCGGCUAACUCUGUG